Molecule: non-coding RNA, 29 nt
Filed under: Rattus norvegicus (Norway rat)
Lineage: Eukaryota; Metazoa; Chordata; Mammalia; Rodentia; Muridae
Source: RNAcentral
UCCCCCCCAUAGUGUCCUGCAAAUAUUAU